GUGCUUGCUUCAGCAGCACACAUACUAAAACUGGAACCAUACAGAGAAGAGUAGCGUCUCUGCGCAAGGACGACACAGAAAUUUGUGAAGCAUUCCAUAUUUUU
Molecule: small nuclear RNA, 104 nt
Organism: Zalophus californianus (California sea lion)
Lineage: Eukaryota; Metazoa; Chordata; Mammalia; Carnivora; Otariidae
Source: Ensembl